AUGAACGGUAAUAAAUCUCUAAUAGCUUUGUCUUCCAAACGAAUGAAAUUUUAUAAAAGAAAAAAAAAACUUACAAUUAAAUUAACUGCAGCCUGCAGGCGAAAAUGAUGGCUUUGUGUGAUAGACUGAUGAAAUCGUGAAGGGUUUCUGUAUUUAGAAUCAAAGCUUUUAGUAAAACGCAGAAGUACAGGCUCUAACAACUAUAUUCUUGAUUCAUAUAAUCUGAGAUAAUAUACAAAAAUAGAUAUUGCUAACGUCAGUUUUAGCUACUAGCUAUAUAUACAAUUUGUCAAGUUGUAUAAAAAGAGAAGCCAUCAGAAUCUCGGAACUGGCCAAAAACUUGCAGACAUGAAAAACUAGCAAAGGGAAGAAAAAAAAAAUGAAGCAGAAGAUGACAUAUUUACCAUAUAACAGAAAACUGCAAUCUGUUGUGUGAAAGAAGAGUUAGUUUUAAUUUAGCUUAGGCAGCAAUAUUGGAAGGCCAAAAUUCUUGAC
RNAcentral lists this long non-coding RNA (495 nucleotides) under Nicotiana tabacum (common tobacco). Its description in RNAcentral is "long non-coding RNA (NTAB_LNC006236)". Lineage: Eukaryota; Viridiplantae; Streptophyta; Magnoliopsida; Solanales; Solanaceae. The record is from RNAcentral.